UAGGGAAUCUUCGGCAAUGGGGGCAACCCUGACCGAGCAACGCCGCGUGAGUGAAGAAGGUUUUCGGAUCGUAAAGCUCUGUUGUAAGUCAAGAACGAGUGUGAGAGUGGAAAGUUCACACUGUGACGGUAGCUUACCAGAAAGGGACGGCUAACUACGUGCCAGCAGCCGCGGUAAUACGUAGGUCCCGAGCGUUGUCCGGAUUUAUUGGGCGUAAAGCGAGCGCAGGCGGUUUGAUAAGUCUGAAGUUAAAGGCUGUGGCUCAACCAUAGUUCGCUUUGGAAACUGUCGAACUUGAGUGCAGAAGGGGAGAGUGGAAUUCCAUGUGUAGCGGUGAAAUGCGUAGAUAUAUGGAGGAACACCGGUGGCGAAAGCGGCUCUCUGGUCUGUAACUGACGCUGAGGCUCGAAAGCGUGGGGAGCGAACAGGAUUAGAUACCCUGGUAGUCCACGCCGUAAACGAUGAGUGCUAGGUGUUGGAUCCUUUCCGGGAUUCAGUGCCGCAGCUAACGCAUUAAGCACUCCGCCUGGGGAGUACGACCGCAAGGUU
This 549-nucleotide ribosomal RNA is filed under the name uncultured bacterium. RNAcentral describes it as "bacterial SSU rRNA". It matches the Rfam family "Bacterial small subunit ribosomal RNA", at positions 355 to 895 of the family's 1533-position model. The record is from RNAcentral.